Molecule: ribosomal RNA, 253 nt
Filed under: uncultured bacterium
Lineage: Bacteria
Description: partial 16S ribosomal RNA
Rfam family: Bacterial small subunit ribosomal RNA
Source: RNAcentral
UACGGAGGGGGCAAGCGUUGUUCGGAUUUACUGGGCGUAAAGGGUGUCUAGGCGGACUUGUAAGUGAAAGGUGAAAUCCUACGGCUUAACCGUAGAACUGCCUUUCAAACUGUGAGUCUAGAGUAUAGGAGAAGUAAGUGGAAUUCUCGGUGUAGCGGUGAAAUGUGUAGAUAUCGAGAAGAACACCAGAGGUGAAAACGGCUUACUAUUCAAUUACUGACGCUGAAGCACGAAGGCUAGGGGAGCAAACAGG